AUGCAAGGAUUGCAAGGCCCGGUAUACACCUGGAUUGCUCGCAGCGGAGUAAACGCCGGCCAUCGCUUCUACAAGUGCGUUAAUAGGGAUAAGGGGAUUUGUGGAUACAUGACGUCGAGCGAGGAGUAUCGGGCGGAGCUGAAUGCAGACACGCUUGCCACUGCUGAAGACUCGCCUCAUCAGGCCGCAUCUUACAUGCACCGGAGAGCCAGGGCAGGUGAAUCAAUGGAGGAAUGGAGCCGUGGAGUCGUGCUUGUGAGGAAUGGCCCCGAUGAGCACCCCGAAUGGAAAGGGCACGCUCGGUUGAGCACAGGAGGAAGAGCCUCGUCCACGUCAAGCGUCCUUAUUGCACUAGUUGCUGCCAUCUUGGUGGUUGUGGUGUUUAUGUUAGCAGUUCUAGUCAAGAUAGCGUAUCUGCUUAGCAGGUUGUAA
RNAcentral lists this ribosomal RNA (432 nucleotides) under Triticum aestivum (bread wheat). RNAcentral describes it as "partial small subunit ribosomal RNA". Lineage: Eukaryota; Viridiplantae; Streptophyta; Magnoliopsida; Poales; Poaceae. The record is from RNAcentral.